This 4685-nucleotide long non-coding RNA is filed under the name Lathyrus oleraceus (garden pea). RNAcentral describes it as "Pisum sativum (pea) long non-coding RNA (PSAT_LNC033540)". Lineage: Eukaryota; Viridiplantae; Streptophyta; Magnoliopsida; Fabales; Fabaceae. The record is from RNAcentral.
UUUUGAGAUGCUAACUGCACAUUUUUGAUGGACCUUCCCAUUUAUAUAAUUGCUAUUCCUUUCAAUAUUUGAAAUUAACUUCUUCGUGACUUCCUUAUUGACACUGAUUUUGAUAAUCGCUUUUUCCUUUCUUUUUUUUAUUAAACAAUUUGGGGGGAAAAGGGAAUAUCUACUCCUCCUCCCAUACUGCACUUACCUUCUCUUAGAGAGUCAUGUAAAAUAACGAAAAUCAAAUAAAGGCGUAGAAAUUAUUAGGUGCAUGUUUUAGUCUUCAAAUUAUUGGUCUGUUAUGUGUGCUGACUCUACGCAUUCUUGAAUACCAUUGGGAGAAAUAACUUGUUUCAUACUCAAUUUGUUUAAUAUUCAACUUCUGCCACAUUGGCUAUAUCAUCAUGACUGAAACUUGUUUAUUUUUCAAAUUGUCCGCCAGAUCUUUAAUUGGCUUCUCUUUGACAGGUUUAAAAAAUUUGGAGUAUUUGAAUCUGGAUUCUUGCCAGAUUGGCGAUGAAGGGCUUGCGAAUUUGACAGGUUUACUGCUAAGUUUUGUAUUUUCCCUUUUGUAGAUUUUAAUGGCCGUUACAUUGUUUAAACCUUAUAUAGAAUAGUUAUACUUCUCUAACGUUCCUGCAAAAGCAAGCUACCUACUAUAGAUCUGAAAUGGGGCCAACUUUUCAUUCGACCUUGCAUGCUGGGAGAUUUAUAGCAUCAAGUUUUCUUUAGAUCCGUGAUUGUGGGGAUAUAUGGAAUUAGUCCUUGUUGUCAUUUUCAGCUGAAUGUGUUAACUUCAUGGUUCUACUUCUCAUAUUUUCUUGGUCCAUUAAAUUUGGGAUGGAAUAAAGCCAUGGAAUUUGGCAUUAACCAAAUGGUUUUGACUUGGAUUUAUAAAUUUAUCAUGUUGUGAAUUUAAAUAAUUAUUUGGUCUUGAACUUGUGCUUAGAAUAUUCAUUAUAUUAAGCAUUGUCUAGUGGUUUUGAUUUGUUAAUGCUCUCUUUGAGGGGGGAAGGUUCUGUUUCUUCUGAAUAUCUGCGAGGUUUUAGGUGUCCAAUAUUUGGAUUGGAAGUAUAGCUUACAGUAUGAAAUUUAUAGUUGUUUGUUCUUUCAGGCCUCACUCUCUUGAAAAUCCUAGUGUUGUCUGAUUCUGAAGUUGGGAACGGCGGGCUUCGAUAUUUAUCAGGUUGAUGCAACAACCCUGUAGCUGUGAAAUGAGAAUUUAAACUCAGCUAUCAGUGUGAAUUUAAAUUUAUGCUGAUAAAUUAUGUUAGGUUGUGUUUCUAUAUUUGCUGGUUAUAUGUUGAAGGCUACAUAAUCAUUAAAGUGAUUGUGAUGUGCACGAGGUAAUCUGUCAUAUAUGAAUCACUUCAGCACCUCCUUAAUUAACUUCCACGUUGUCAACUUUUAGUAUGUAAAUUGACAUUGCAUGCUGAGGCUCAAUCUUGGAAUGUGAUAAUCUAUUUUUGUAUAAUAUAUUGGACGGUAUAAUUCAGAAAGCCCAUUUAGUUGCACAAACACAUCUGAACAAGAAAAAUUGUUUCUGUCAAUAGCAUGCCAAUCUGCUGAGCAGUGCUAAGACGUGGUUGCUGCGCACACCAUUUUGAUUUGAUCUUAGGCAUCUUGUUUUAAUAGUUGUUCAGUUUCUCUGUCUAUUAUGAAUAUAUGUUUUCCAGUCAGUUACAUCUAUUUGCACACAAGCAUAUGUGUCCAUCUAUCUGAUUCUGUCUUGUUAGAGAUAUUCACAGACAUUGAUUUUAAUACACCUGUGAGAUUGUACUUGCUUUUGUCCAGGGUUAAGCAAACUUGAAGAUUUGAAUCUGUCAUUUACUUCAGUAACUGAUAAUGGCCUGAAAAGGCUCUCAGGACUGACAAGUCUUAAAUCACUUAAUCUGGAUGCUCGACAGAUAACUGAUUCUGGACUGGCAAAUCUUACAAGUAAGCAUUUCCUUGUGUAUAAUCAAUAUAUCGCAUGUCUUUCAUUCACGAUUAUUCACUUGUUAUCCUUAUAAUUUUGGUACUCUUGUAUGAAUUAUUUUGUAUAUGUAAAGAGGGUACUGCCUAGUCAUGAGAAAGCAGCAUUAUAAAUCAUUAAACAUGGCCCAACUUCCCUGUCCGUUUGUCAUUUAUUAUUUUUCCUUUUAUCUUCUGUUAUUUUUAAAAUUAUUUACAAAUCUAAAACUGCAGCAUGCCAGCAUGCAAAAUUGAGUUCUGAUAACAGGUUGUAAGAUAGUUAGAGAACCACUGCUAGCACAUUUCUCUAGUUUCUUUUGAAUUAUUUCAUCUAUGUUGACUGUUGAGUCAUUUCAAUGCUUCUCCCUCUUUAUAAUCACUUGUGAUUUGAACAUUUGUUUUUCUUCUCUUUCUCUCAUUUCUCUUCUUUACUUUUACAUGCUCCAUUAUUUUCUGGGCGGGCCAUCCUAUAUACUCUGCUAAUGACUGAUUAUAUCUUUCUAUUACGUCUCUUACUUUUUUAUAGAACCAUUUUAGAAGUCUAAAACUUUAGAAAUAACCACUUUUUCCCAUUGCAUAUUUGUCACAUGCUAUUUGGAAACUAGCAACUUCCUGUAUUCUAUUGGAUCAAGUGCAUUCAUGGGGUAAAAUCUAUAUGUCAAGUCACAACUCUUUCUAUUUAAGCCCUUGUAGAAACACCAUGUUUGGAUCCAAUUCUGACCCUAUCUAGGCCUUCACACCGGACGCGAUAGCUUGUCCUCAACAAAAAAUCCCCUUAGCACUUAGCUCUAAGAUUUCUACCCUUAUCGAAUCAAACUUCCAGUUGGAUCUAACUUGACCCACCUGGACUAACCAAGGCAUGAUGCUGGCUUACAACUAACAAUCCCUUUCCAGCACCUGCAGCCAGUAGCUUGUUUAGAAUUAAACUCAUGACUUCAGCUCUCAUACCAAUUUUUUCUGAGUGGCUUCCCAGUAGACCGAAAAACUAUUGUAGUUAGCACCACUCCUCUUCAACUUAAACCUGUCAUCAAGCUCUAUGGUAUCUUGACUCUGAUCCUGUUGUCCAGGCAGAUUGCUAACCCACAACAUAUUGCAGGUUGCAUCUUUGGUUUAGAUAUUUAACCGAAACAGUGUUUUUAUAUUUUUACUCUGAGCUACACAUCCUUUUUAUGAGGUUCAAGCUAAACCAAGAUAGUUGUUUUCACAUCUUUUUACUGUAACUAAUGUGUUUUAAUAUAUUUUUGUGAGCUAUAACUAAAUUUCCUUCCUUCAUAUGUAACUGUCUGAUUGACUUUUUCUUGUAUAGGUCUGAGUGGAUUGAUAACUUUGGAUCUCUUUGGUGCCCGUAUCACUGACUCUGGAACUACAUAUUUACGGUGUAUGUAUACCAACUUCAGACUAUUGUUAAUUUCCUUCGUUCAUAUGGUGUAUGCUAACUGCAUACUUAUUUCUUGAAAAUACCUGAUUGUAAUGUGUUUCUGAUAAUUGUAACAUCUAACCAACUAGUUAGUCUACACUUGAAAUGAGAAUCCAUGAGAAACGAUGAAAAUACUCUGCACUUCCCGUGGUGUUUUCCUUUUUUAGGUAUUUGAUGCUUAUCAUAUAUGUAUUGGGCUGCACACAUCGGUUAUGAAAUUGUUAUCUGUUCAAGCGAAUAAAUAAUUCUACAUAAAGUUUACUCUUCUGUUCUUUAUAAUAUUCACAUUUUAUAAGAAAAACAUGAAUCUACAUAAUCUUCUUCAUAAAGUAUCUCAGUGGCUAAACUUUUAUUUCCUUCUUUGCAUCAUGCAGCGUUCAAGAACCUGCAAUCCCUUGAGAUAUGUGGUGGAUUUUUAACUGAUGCAGGUGUGAAAAAUAUUAGAGAAAUUGUCUCCCUUACACAGCUAAACCUUUCUCAGAAUUGCAAAUUGACAGAUAAAACCCUGGAGUUAAUUUCUGGUAUUUUCUGCCUGCUCUUUUCAACAAUAAUAAUCUAAAUUAUUUGAGAUAUAUGUAAUAUAAGCAUAAAACUGUAAUUUGAAUGUUUAGUCAGUCAGCUAUCAGUUACACCUUCCUAGUUAAAGUUGACUGUUAAUUAAGCACCACAUCUAAUGAGGGUGCAGCUGGUAGUGAUGUGCUAAUGUUACAUGUUUACGUGGCUUUCCUGAUUGAUUAGGGAUGUUUGUUCUUCUUUCUCUAACAUGUUUGUAUAUUCAUAUCUGAAUACAGGAAUGACUGCGCUGAAGUCACUAAAUGUUUCAAAUUCUCGUGUAACAAACCAAGGACUACAAUAUUUGAAGCCUCUAAAGAAUUUACGCACUCUUUCCUUGGAGUCUUGCAAUGUCAAUGCAGCUGAAAUUAAGAUGCUCCAUUCAAAUGAUCUUCCAAAUUUGAUAAGUUUUCGGCCAGAGUAGACAAGGUGAUAGAAAGAGUUCGGAUCUUAGCAUGGUGAACAAACAAUUCUCUGCACAUAUUUAUUGCUACUCUUUAGAUAAUCAUAAAAUAAUGAGUUGAAGAUGAAAGCUAAAAAAGUUAUUAGGCAUGUUAGUGUAAUUAUGCUUUAUUUUGCAUGUCGAGUAAUACUUGUACAUGUAUCUUUUUCUUUCUUUUCUUUCUUAAGUGUGCAAGUCAUGCCAGGUAUUGUGCAUUAUUGUAUGUUUGUAAAUAAAAACAGGUAUUGUGCAUUAUUGCAUGUCUGUAAAUAAAAACGAUGGAAGCAAUGACAAAGUUUAUGCAUGACUAAUUUCUUUGGUUUUUUUUUAAAC